Molecule: ribosomal RNA, 380 nt
Filed under: uncultured soil bacterium
Lineage: Bacteria
Description: bacterial SSU rRNA
Rfam family: Bacterial small subunit ribosomal RNA
Source: RNAcentral
AGAUUGAACGCUGGCGGCAGGCCUAACACAUGCAAGUCGAGCGGCAGCACGGGUACUUGUACCUGGUGGCGAGCGGCGGACGGGUGAGUAAUGCCUAGGAAUCUGCCUGGUAGUGGGGGAUAACGCUCGGAAACGGACGCUAAUACCGCAUACGUCCUACGGGAGAAAGCAGGGGACCUUCGGGCCUUGCGCUAUCAGAUGAGCCUAGGUCGGAUUAGCUAGUUGGUGAGGUAAUGGCUCACCAAGGCGACGAUCCGUAACUGGUCUGAGAGGAUGAUCAGUCACACUGGAACUGAGACACGGUCCAGACUCCUACGGGAGCAGCGAGUGGGAAUAGUGGACAAGUGGGCAAAGCCUGAUCCAGCCAGUGCCGCGUGUGU